This 240-nucleotide long non-coding RNA is filed under the name Elaeis guineensis (African oil palm). Its description in RNAcentral is "long non-coding RNA (EGUI_LNC006618)". The record is from RNAcentral. Lineage: Eukaryota; Viridiplantae; Streptophyta; Magnoliopsida; Arecales; Arecaceae.
CACGAACUUGCGCAUGAAAAUUUGAUCCAAUACAGAUCAUAAAAGUUCGAUCUGAUAAAAAAAAUAGAACAGCCGACUAGGAGCUUAUGUCUGGAACAGCCCCCACAAGUUUACACGUAGAAAAUUUGAUCCGAAAAAGAUUAUGAGAAUUUGAUCCGAGAAAGAUCAUGAAAAUUUGAUUCGAGAAAGAUCAUAAAACUUCGAUCCAAAUAAAGAUCAUCGUAUGAUCUUAAUUAGUGC